CUCACCACUAAAUGGUGAUUCAGCCUAGGUGGAAUAAGCUUUUUUUCUCAUUUUCAAUAUUUUCCCCUCACCUGUUUGAAACCCUCUUCUCUCAACCUGAUAGCCCUUCUCACCAAGCCUCCUUUGUUGCUUUGCCACUGGCCACUUUCGUUCUUCCACUCUUUCACGUUAGUCGAUUGAAGCUACUCGUUCCUUCGUUCCUCCACUCUUUCUUCUUUUUCUUUUCCCUUUCAUUAUUGAAUCACGUUAGUCGAUAUUACUUUAAAGCCAUUAGUUCCUCCUAGAUUUGAAACAAAGGUGAAGUAGUAUAACUAGCAUGACGUGGAGUCUGGGGAACUGAUAAUUGUAUUUAGUGCUCCAGACUACCUACAAUUUUAGAUCAAGAAAGAAAGAAAUCGGAGUUAGAUCAGGAAAAGUCGAAAGUUGUCGAAUAGUCGUUCCGAUCCGUUCGUUUUCGAAUGAGAUUUUGAAAGCUAGCUCGAGUUUGAGGAUCAUCCAGGAACAUCGUCACACUAUCGAUCGCUAUUUCUGUACUUUAAAAGUUUGUACUUUCGACUUAUGGCAUGUAUAGGCUAGUUUCGAUAUGGUUCUUUUGAUCUGUAUAUAUGUGGCCAUGUAGAAAUGGCUUGAUAAUGAUGUUAAUGUUUGUGUAUACUCGGUCAUAGUAUAAGCUCAUUUUGGUUGAGUAACGAUUUAGUUGAUGGAUGCGUUUUUACUGUAAUGCAUAUAUUCCCAUAAACUAAAUUAUGUAUAAGUGAUUGCUUGCA
Molecule: long non-coding RNA, 767 nt
Organism: Gossypium raimondii (Peruvian cotton)
Lineage: Eukaryota; Viridiplantae; Streptophyta; Magnoliopsida; Malvales; Malvaceae
Exons: 4
Source: RefSeq, a predicted model, not a curated record